AUAAAAUUCAUUGAUGUAUAAUGUAUAACCUCAAUAAUAUGGUUUGAGGGUCUCUACCAGGAACCGAACAAUCCUGAUUACAAAAUUAAGUGUGCUCGUC
RNAcentral lists this non-coding RNA (100 nucleotides) under Paenibacillus sp. RNAcentral's name for it is "Guanine sequence". It matches the Rfam family "Purine riboswitch aptamer". From Rfam's summary of the family: Riboswitches are metabolite binding domains within certain messenger RNAs that serve as precision sensors for their corresponding targets. Allosteric rearrangement of mRNA structure is mediated by ligand binding, and this results in modulation of gene expression. RNAcentral also lists the same sequence under 1 other name. Lineage: Bacteria; Bacillati; Bacillota; Bacilli; Caryophanales; Paenibacillaceae. The record is from RNAcentral.